Long non-coding RNA from Bos taurus (domestic cattle), 895 nucleotides. The record is from Ensembl. NCBI's taxonomy places the organism in Eukaryota, Metazoa, Chordata, Mammalia, Artiodactyla, Bovidae.
CCUUGAUGGGGAAGAGACGUGGGGACUUCACCACACAGACUUGUCGCUCCCCGCUCAAAAAGUCACAUCCAUUUUAGACAGCCAAGAAAUAGCCCCAGCAGUGGCACCUGCUCCACCUGAGGACAUCUGCCCGAAAUCAGACGUCUGGCCCCCCGCUUUGGGCGGUUGAGGGAAACCAAGCAGAACCACGUUUGAGGAAUAAGGAACCAGCUGUUGAAUCACGAGCCGAUUCAUUCCUUGUUACUAUAUGAAGAUCCGGCACUGUGACCCCUUCAGGGUUCCCUCACCAUAUCUAAGAUGCCGGAUACAGACAAGCGUUCCACAGCCUCAAGACAACUUAAAAACUCUGACUCCACAUAGCUCAGAUUUUUCUUUUCCGUGAGAAGACAAAGGCUCAGAGAGGUAACACCUGAAGGCCCCAAAGCAUGUCAGCAACACCAGAAGAUCACCGAUCUUCAGCUUUCCAGACGGUGUUUUCCCAGUAUCUGCUGCUGCCUCAGCCAUCCCUCAUCCUUCAGUGCUCCCACACUGCCUGUGACACGUACACACUCAAAUAUCACUCAUGUAUGCACUAAGGUCUCCAGGAAGAUAAUAAUCCCAGAGUGUUAUUCACAGGAAGUGGACAGCACUUCCUUUAUGCACUUUAUACAUAUGAAUGCAUUAAUCCUUACAAUAACCCUGGAGGUAGCUACUACUAUUAUCCCUACACAGACAUGAAUUUGAGCAAGCUCCGGAAGUUGGUGAUGGACAGGGAGGCCUGGCGUGCUGCAGUCCAUGCAAAAAGUCUUAUACGACUGAGCUACUGAACUGAACUAAACGGUUGCACAGUAUUGUAAAUGGGCUUCCCUUGUAGGUCAGUUGAUAAAGAAUCCGCCCGCAAUGCAGGAGACCAGGG